UUGCUAUGAUGACAGUCUUAGGACACCUUUGGAAUUUACCAUGAAAACACCUCUAACUCUGAGCAAC
Myxocyprinus asiaticus (Chinese sucker) is the source of this 67-nucleotide small nucleolar RNA. RefSeq annotates it as small nucleolar RNA SNORD58. The record is from RefSeq and is a predicted model, not a curated record. Lineage: Eukaryota; Metazoa; Chordata; Actinopteri; Cypriniformes; Catostomidae. The transcript has a single exon.